AUUGAACGCUGGCGGCAGGCCUAACACAUGCAAGUCGAGCGAGCGGCGGACGGGUGAGUAAUGUAUGGGAAUCUGCCCGGUAGAGGGGGAUAACUACUGGAAACGGUGGCUAAUACCGCAUACUAUCGGAUGAACCGAUAUGGGAUUAGCUAGUAGGUGGGGUAAAGGCUCACCUAGGCGACGAUCCCUAGCUGGUCUGAGAGGAUGAUCAGCCACACUGGGACUGAGACACGGCCCAGACUCCUACGGGAGGCAGCAGUGGGGAAUUUUGCACAAUGGGCGCAAGCCUGAUGCAGCCAUGCCGCGUGUAUGAUGAAGGCCUUCGGGUUGUAAAGUACUUUCGGCGGGGAGGCGUUACCCGCAGAAGAAGCACCGGCUAACUACGUGCCAGCAGCCGCGGUAAUAC
This 406-nucleotide ribosomal RNA is filed under the name uncultured bacterium. RNAcentral describes it as "partial 16S ribosomal RNA". It matches the Rfam family "Bacterial small subunit ribosomal RNA", at positions 30 to 526 of the family's 1533-position model. The record is from RNAcentral.